UUUUAGCCCAGAUGGCAACGGCAUCCUUUUGUAAAGCUACAAGCCUUUGGCUGGAAGUUCUACAAAAGAUAUAGUGGACAGCUGGAAAUAGC
This 92-nucleotide small RNA is filed under the name Flavobacterium omnivorum. RNAcentral describes it as "Flavo-1 RNA". It matches the Rfam family "Flavo-1 RNA". The record is from RNAcentral. Lineage: Bacteria; Pseudomonadati; Bacteroidota; Flavobacteriia; Flavobacteriales; Flavobacteriaceae.